UGUGUCAAGUGUCAAUACAAUUUUAUCAUCAUUUAUUAUAAAUUGUAAUAAAUUAAAUUAGUAUUUUAUUGUUUAUUGUAACAGAGCGCAUAUAUUGAGAAGUCAGCUGUGUUGGUGUCGAGGCAGUGAGCUGCACUGCUGGCUCAGCAUCUCUCCUCUUCCUCCUCCUCCUCCUCCUCCUCGCGCCCAGACCGAAUGAAGGUCAAGACUCACCGCUCGACUGCAGGAUUGAUGACUUAAAAGCGUGGCGGUCUUCAGUCGAUAUGAUUUGGCAGCGUCGAUGCGCCUCACGGGUGUGAUAUUGACCCGGGAGUUAUGUUUCCAGGAGCGCGAGGAGCUGUGUAAGCCAGAGGUGCGGGUCGUGACUUUCCGGCGAUGAGACGAGAAUUGAACAUCAAUCGCGUAUUGACUCUUCCCUCUUGAGUUUUAACGUUGUACCGGAUCUUCAAAUGACCCCCGAAUGACCUUUAAGGGACCUUUGAAUGGCAACUGACCUUAGAAAGACCUUGGAAAGGUGCAUAGCAUUUAGUAACUGUGGGACACACUACUUUUCACUGAUUGACCCUAACAAACUGACCCCAUAGAAAUUACAGUACUAAUAAAUUCUGACAUUAUUUACUUGGCCUCUAGUUGCUUCAAAACUGUAUGACUACUCUGUUUGAUUGGCUUAGAUUUAUUUAUUCUUUUUUUUUUAAUUCAUUUAUUUAUUCUUCUUUUUUUUUAUUUGUAUCAAUGAACAAACUAAUUAAUUAAUUAAUGGAAAGGUCUCACAAGUCUGACUUAAAAACUUAGAAUUGCAAUAAAAAUAAUCUGAAUUGUGGGAUAUUCGGAACAUCAGUAAAAAUAUAAAUGAUGAAAUAUUCACACACGCAAGGGAAAAACAUCUAAAGUGUGAAAUAAAACUGAAUUGCAGUAAAAAAUGAUACUGUGAAGAGAUUAAAAACAGGUCUAAAUUGUGAUGUACUGUGAGAUCUUGAUUUUGGGUCACUGUACCUUUAAUUGAUCUUCUAGAAGAGGGAAUUCUAAUGCGUAUAUAUGAGUAUUAUAAGAAUGACAGUUUUGAAAGGGUUUUCGAUAAUGAAAAGAUAGCUUUGUUCAUUGUUAUUAUAGAUACCCUUCAAAACAGUCGUCUAAAUAUGUUUUCAACCCAAUAAACGACCCGUAAUUCCACCUC
Puntigrus tetrazona (Sumatra barb) is the source of this 1174-nucleotide long non-coding RNA. RefSeq lists it as uncharacterized. The transcript is spliced from 2 exons. The record is from RefSeq and is a predicted model, not a curated record. Lineage: Eukaryota; Metazoa; Chordata; Actinopteri; Cypriniformes; Cyprinidae.